CCUACGGGAGGCAGCAGUGAGGAAUAUUGGUCAAUGGGCGCGAGCCUGAACCAGCCAAGUAGCGUGAAGGAUGACUGCCCUACGGGUUGUAAACUUCUUUUAUAAAGGAAUAAAGUGAGGCACGUGUGCCUUUUUGUAUGUACUUUAUUAAUUAGGAUCGGCCAACUUCGUGCCUGCAGCGGCGGUAAUACGGAGGAGCCGUGCGUUAUCCGGAUUUAUUGGGUUUAAGGGGAGCGUAGAUGGGGUGUUAAGUCAGUUGUGAAAGUUUGCGGCUCAACCGUAAAAUUGCAAUUGAUACUGGCAGCCUUGAGUACAGAUGAGGUAGGCGGAAUUCGUGGUGUAGCGGUGAAAUGCGUAGAUAUCACGAAGAACUCCGAUUGCGAAGGCAGCUUACUAAACUGCCACUGACAUUGAUGCUCGAAAGUGUGGGUAUCAAACAGGAUUAGAUACCCUUGUAGUC
This 460-nucleotide ribosomal RNA is filed under the name uncultured bacterium. Its description in RNAcentral is "partial 16S ribosomal RNA". It matches the Rfam family "Bacterial small subunit ribosomal RNA", at positions 338 to 795 of the family's 1533-position model. The record is from RNAcentral.